Molecule: long non-coding RNA, 4180 nt
Filed under: Falco tinnunculus (common kestrel)
Lineage: Eukaryota; Metazoa; Chordata; Aves; Falconiformes; Falconidae
Description: lncRNA (ENSFTIG00000009025.1)
Source: RNAcentral
GGCCCGGCCGCGGCCGCUCCGCGCUUCCCGGCCCACCCCGAGGAGACGCGGCCGCGGCGGCGCGGCCCGACCCGCCCCGGCGGGGAGCGGCGCGGCGCCAUUAGCUGAGGGCGCCGUCGCUCCGCCGGUGGCACCGUCACGUGGGCGGCCGGGCCCCAGCGAGCGGCGAGUGGGGGGCGGGACGUGCGGGCCGGAAGCUGCGGGGCGGGCCCGCCGGGGGCACCGCCGCGAGGGAGCCCGGGCCGCGAGGGGGCGCGGGGUAGUGGGCCGAGCCGAGUGGAGCCCAGCCGAGCCGGGUCUCGCUUGCGCCCCCGGCUGUGCGGAGCCCCGUUGCGGACGGGAGGCAGCAGCUUUCUCCCCGCAGGUUUUCCCUCGUCGCUGUCGUUAGGACUCCAGGCGGGGUGGCUGAGCUCUAGGACUGGGCCAGAAGCCUCACCUACGGGUGGAUGCACUGUGAUGGAAUUUUCUCAGUUCCCAAGAGACUCCUGGUGCCAGCUGCAACAGGGCUCCCAGCCGAAGGGGUGGACCUGGGCAAUGUUAAGUCAAUCAGCAAAACAGCUGGAGCUGCCUGGCAGUGCUCGCCCCACCAUGGGCAAACACCAGCUGGAUGUGGGUCACGUGCCCAGUGUUUGAAGUUAAGUUUAUCUGGAUGUACCUGCAGUAAUAAUAUGUCGUAAGUACAUGUGGGGAAUGAAGACUUUGAAGUGAAUGGAACAAAGUGCAUGAUUAAAAUGAGAAAACAAAUUAGCGGCUGCAAAAUCGAGGCCCCAAGAUGUUCUUUUGUUCCACAUCACGAAUGUUGAGCUAAAGGUCAUGAAAGUACGUAAUCGCCUUCAACAGCAGAUCUUAAAAUCAUAUUUUUGGCCAGAACAAAGUGGGAAAGAUAAUUCUGGUUGUGUGUUUUCGGUAAACAGGCUGACAUCAUAUAGUUACACCCAACAUCUAGGUAGGACUUAAAAUUUUUGGAACAGUGUUGGUAAUUGAGCAGGUGAUGCUUGUAAAAGUAAAUAUAUUCAUUUAAUGAUAGGCUUUUGUAAAUAACAUGCCAUAAAAUGACUCAUUAAAUAUAUUUGCUUUCUUAACUAGUUAAAUUUCAUGACAGAGGAAGUGAGGAAAAUGCAACUAGCUAUACAGAGAUUUUUGUGCACUAUUGUCACAUGACUGAUUCUGUAAUUUAAAAAAUCACAUUUCAGCUUUGCCCAGCUCAAUACAGUAUAUCAUAUCAAUUGUGAUUACAUUUUCUAAGGGGUAGUAUUGGCUGCAGGCUACAAAGUACGCACACUUUGUGUUAUUUUGUGGUUUAAUAUAUACAGAUAGCACAUUCCAGGGCCUUCAUAGUUUCCCUUUCUGAGGGGGGGUGAGAUUUUUGUACUGGCCUACUCAACAACUGUUACAAACACCUAACAAUGCUGAACAGUCUUUGAAAUGUACAUUAUAAAAUAUUACUUAAAUCUUCAAGUAUUGAGAAGUAGGUAGUCUCACUAAAAUUCAAACGCUACUGUUACAACCCAAACAUUCUCUCUGGAAGUAUAGCAGCUUCAGGAAGGUGGUUUAUAAUUUUCCUCCAAACAAGAACAGUUAGCUACAGUAUAUUUAAAACUUAUUUAUUAAGAUACAUCCAUGACCCUCUCUUUGAGUAAAAUGAAUGCAGCUACGUAUAUGCAGUGAUACAUAAGUGAAUGUACAUGUUUUCAAAGAUAACAAUAUUAAUGCUGCAUAGACUUGAAGAUUUUCAAUUUUUGCAGCUAAGGCCUAUACAGCAUUAAAAACCAGAGUUACCAUAAAUAGUAAUAAAAUGUUAAGACUUCUUUGAAUGUUUCCUUUAUUUUCUCUUUAUUUCCCAGAUGACUGUUUAAGUUUCCUCAUUUGUCUCAUGGAGCAGGCUUUGUCUUACUUUGAUGUUUGCAUUUUUGUCUUUUUUGUGUUACACACUAAAUGUGCUGGAUAGCUGCUGUCUGGUUUUAGAGCUAGCAGUGGUGAAAAGUUACAAUGGCCAAGCUAUUUUUAAUUGGGUAUCUCAUGCAGAUAUCAAAACCACAGCUUCCUUUUAACCCACAACAUGACUUUGUGCAUUGCAUCAUCAGAUAUCUUGCGUUAGGCCGUGCAAAUUGGGAAUGCUCCCACUUUGGAUUACCUAGGCUGCUCUAGGUACAGGGUUGCAGCAACCUGGCAAGGUGUUUCUUGGCUGGCACGCACACAGACAGCUUUUCUCAGCGUGAUGCAGUGGGAUGGCAACUGGGUGAGCUAUGGCGUGCGUGGAAGAUCUUGGAACCAGGAGGAGGGUCUGUUGGGGAAGGAUUUAGAGCAGUAAUGUAUCAGGAGAUUGAAAGGCAGCUGCAUGAGCUUCGUGCAGUUGUGUCAUACAUUACAGGUCUGUUAGACUGACAGUUGGACAGCCAUGAUUAACAGAGAUGGCUGGUGCUAGAUUUGAGGGUGGUACAUGCCCUCAAAAGGCCAAAUACACGUCAUAUAAGCCACUUAGGUCAAGGCUAGCACCCUAGUCAGACUGACAAAAGCCCUCUAAAUUUUGGUGGGGCCAGGAAGUGCCAGAAAUGCUGUCUAAAAUGGUGGUGAAAAUAGCUUGGUCCUGCCUACCCUUAAGUUAGCAUUUAUGCUAUUUUUAGCAUUUAAGCAAGAUUUGUUGCUUUUCUAAGUUGUAGCCCUCUUUUUUAGUUUCGGUGGAGUUUAACCUGGCCUGAAAAAUGCUGUACUGAAUUUUUUCUAAGUGAUAACUCAGUGAGAUGCAGACAGGUGAGCAUAGCUCUACAGCACAAAGAGCCAUUAGCAAAAUGUGAGCCGGUGUACCAAAAUGUUUACAAUUUGCCAGAAUACACUCCAGUAUUUAUCACUUCUGAACCCUCACUUCCUGAAUACCGAUCAUCCUCAGUGUUCCACACAAGUUAUUUGAAGAAGUACUGUUUUAAAAAUUACUAAAUUUAAGAGCCUUUCUCUGUAUGUGGCCUAUUUUUCUCCCUUUACCUGACACUGAGACUUGAAAUGUAAUUGAAGCCACAGCAGACAGGCACUACAGUUUGCAGAUCACCUCUCCCUGUUUUCUGCAGCCUUGGGGAAACAUAAGCAUCCAUGUGGCCCUGUAGUGAAUUACACCAGGGCACCAGACCACGAUAAAAGCAAAAAAAGUGAGUUUUCUGUUUCAUCAAGCCCUCCUUAUCUGUCUCAUGACCACAAACAUCCUGCAUGCGUUCUCAAUGUUUUUACAAAAUGUUGAAUCAAGUUCAAGGCCAUGGAUAUGAUAGUCAGUCACCUGGCCCUAUCAAUCUCCCAACAGACGCCCUAAACUGGCCUCUGUCUUACUGCCCGCUGCCCGUCUGAUCUGGGCUGCUCACUGCGUUUCUGGCUAUAAUUGGGGUUUAUCCUGAGGACUGCCUUAAUGGUUUGGGAUACAGCUUUCUUCAUCAUGAGUUCAAGUUAUUCUUGUUUCUCUUCCCUGCUUUGUCGUGUCUUUGGAUUCUGCCUGCUGCUGUGGAGGCGGUGGUUCUGAUACCAUUAUCUGUUACCAUGUCUGAUUAGAGACAAAACUCUCCAAUACUUGGUUUGGAGUUUUAGAAAGCACGCUGAUAAAAUUCCUCCUGUGCCAAUUCCUCACCAGAGCUUUCCCCUGGCCUUACACACCUUUGACUCUGCUUCGUCAUACAGCCUUCCCUGACAUUUAGUGCGGGUCUUUGACCCUCCCAUUGCUUUGUUCUAGCACAUUCCUCUGGCUUCUGUGGUUGCUGGCAUCUUAUCCACAAUUAGCUUUUUCUCCAUUCCUGCACUGAAUAUGAACCAGCAGACACGUAGGGCGGCCGAUACCAGCCCUCUGCUGAUGUUCUCAGAAGCUCUCGCAGGCCUCUGCGAGGCCAUGAUCUGAGCAGUCACCUCUGCGCUGUUGAGUGCAAACACACAACACUGCUGGGGGGCCCCAAGGUCCCGGCGUACGAGUGGGAGCUCACCCCCGCCGCCGGGACCCAGGGCUACCGCUGCCGGGUGCCCUCCCGGCAGCCACACCUGGCCAGGCCGCGGCCGGCCCCUCACGGCCGGGCCCUGGCGCUCAGCCCCGCGGGCGGCGCCACCCGCGCAGGGCUCCGCUCCCGCCCCCGGGCCCGGGCCAGGUGGCCCCCGCGCCGCUCCGCCGGCAGGUGAGGAGGCGGCGGCCGCGCUGCCCCUCGGUGAGGCGGCG